This 601-nucleotide long non-coding RNA is filed under the name Equus caballus (horse). RNAcentral's name for it is "lncRNA (ENSECAG00000048370.1)". Lineage: Eukaryota; Metazoa; Chordata; Mammalia; Perissodactyla; Equidae. The record is from RNAcentral.
GUUUCUACGCUGCCUCCCAGGAUGGAAACAGGACGAGUGAAGGAGGGAAGUCCCCAGACGCAGCAUGACUGCUUGCAUUAAGGGAUACUGAGCUUUAUCCAGCUCCAAGUGCCCCCAAACCUCGUAACCUCACAAAUUAGGGAGUCUCCAGUCUACUUAGGAGGAAGCUGCCAAGAGGUUUGAUCAUCAGAGAGGAGACAGAACCACAUCAAUCAAGGAGUAUAAGCUACAAGCCCCACAAAAUCUCAAUCCACCUCUUGAAUGCCUGUAGUAGCUUCUAUACCUGAAAAUCACUCUUGCCGGGACUGUGGGAGACACUGAUUCUGUCUCUGGUGGAGAGGCAGUGUGUCAACAAUGGUUGGGGUCACGGACUCCAGGGCCAGACCGCCAGGGUUCAAAUGCCAGGUACAGCAUGAACCAGGGAGCCUUAGAAGGCACUUCAUAGGUCUUAAAUAUAUUAUUAUUGCUUUAGAUACGUCAAUUCCUGUUCUAAAUACUUAUUCAGAUAUAAUGAUUGCAAGAUACAGAAUUAUAAGAAACAAUUUGUAACCAUAUUUUAUGUAGAGUAAUUUUUAACUAAAACACUACAUUAAAAGUAAAG